This 242-nucleotide ribosomal RNA is filed under the name uncultured bacterium. Its description in RNAcentral is "partial 16S ribosomal RNA". It matches the Rfam family "Bacterial small subunit ribosomal RNA", at positions 529 to 770 of the family's 1533-position model. The record is from RNAcentral.
AGGUGGCAAGCGUUGUCCGGAUUUACUGGGUGUAAAGGGCGUGCAGCCGGGAAGACAAGUCAGAUGUGAAAUCCCGCGGCUCAACCCAUGAACUGCUCUCAAAACUGUUUCCCUUGAGUAUCGGAGAGGCAAGCGGAAUUCCUAGUGUAGCGGUGAAAUGCGUAGAUAUUAGGAGGAACACCAGUGGCGAAGGCGGCUUGCUGGACGACAACUGACGCUGAGGCGCGAAAGCGUGGGGAGCA